RNAcentral lists this ribosomal RNA (253 nucleotides) under uncultured bacterium. RNAcentral's name for it is "partial 16S ribosomal RNA". It matches the Rfam family "Bacterial small subunit ribosomal RNA", at positions 524 to 776 of the family's 1533-position model. The record is from RNAcentral.
UACGGAAGGGGCAAGCGUUGUUCGGAAUCAUUGGGCGUAAAGGGCGUGUAGGUGGUUCUGUAUGUCUACCGUGAAAGCGUACGGCUCAACCGUAUUUAGUCGGUAGAAACUGCAGGACUUGAGGCUGGGAGGGGCUGGUGGAAUUCCCCGUGUAGCGGUGAAAUGCGUAGAGAUGGGGGAGAACACUCGUGGCGAAGGCGGCCAGCUAGACCAGUUCUGACACUGAGGCACGAAAGCGUGGGGAGCAAACAGG